Molecule: unclassified non-coding RNA, 597 nt
Filed under: Aspergillus fumigatus
Lineage: Eukaryota; Fungi; Ascomycota; Eurotiomycetes; Eurotiales; Aspergillaceae
Description: sequence contains 18S rRNA gene, ITS1, 5.8S rRNA gene, ITS2, 28S rRNA gene
Rfam family: 5.8S ribosomal RNA (bases 229-382)
Source: RNAcentral
UCGUAACAAGGUUUCCGUAGGUGAACCUGCGGAAGGAUCAUUACCGAGUGAGGGCCCUCUGGGUCCAACCUCCCACCCGUGUCUAUCGUACCUUGUUGCUUCGGCGGGCCCGCCGUUUCGACGGCCGCCGGGGAGGCCUUGCGCCCCCGGGCCCGCGCCCGCCGAAGACCCCAACAUGAACGCUGUUCUGAAAGUAUGCAGUCUGAGUUGAUUAUCGUAAUCAGUUAAAACUUUCAACAACGGAUCUCUUGGUUCCGGCAUCGAUGAAGAACGCAGCGAAAUGCGAUAAGUAAUGUGAAUUGCAGAAUUCAGUGAAUCAUCGAGUCUUUGAACGCACAUUGCGCCCCCUGGUAUUCCGGGGGGCAUGCCUGUCCGAGCGUCAUUGCUGCCCUCAAGCACGGCUUGUGUGUUGGGCCCCCGUCCCCCUCUCCCGGGGGACGGGCCCGAAAGGCAGCGGCGGCACCGCGUCCGGUCCUCGAGCGUAUGGGGCUUUGUCACCUGCUCUGUAGGCCCGGCCGGCGCCAGCCGACACCCAACUUUAUUUUUCUAAGGUUGACCUCGGAUCAGGUAGGGAUACCCGCUGAACUUAAGCAUAUC